Mytilus californianus (California mussel) is the source of this 666-nucleotide long non-coding RNA. RefSeq lists it as uncharacterized. Lineage: Eukaryota; Metazoa; Mollusca; Bivalvia; Mytilida; Mytilidae. The transcript is spliced from 4 exons. The record is from RefSeq and is a predicted model, not a curated record.
GACGCUUCUUGUCGCUUCUUGUCGUCAAUUAGUGAGACCCCGAUUUACAGUUGGAAUGGAAAGCCUGAUGCAAGACUUAUGACUCUAAACGACUAUAUUUAAGUGAUAAUUUCAAUUACUAGGUGCUAUGUUUCUGUAAUGGGAAACUUUAUUAGUCAAUUAGAAAAACCAGGAAUUGCAAUAAUUAAUCCAGAAAAGACAAAAAAAGAAAACCAGACUAAAGAGGAAAUUAUAGCUGAACAUGCAAUUAAGAUAAAAAGCAAGGAAGAAAAAAGGGAACAAUUUCUUGACUUGAUGAAUGGGAAGGACUGUAUGAGUUGUAAAGUUAUAGCAACAGUUAACCCUUUGAUUCUUGCUGGUAUAACAGGCUACUACUACAGGAAACAGAAUAUAAAGUUUUUAAAGCCAUCAUGGAGGUUUUGUAUUCAUGCUACAUAUGGAUCCCUUAUUUUUGGCUUAGUGUGGAUGUCAUUCAUGGGCUUAACAGGAUCAUAUACUUUGAAGCGGUCAAAUGAAACAAUCACAGAAUAUUUACAAAGAGACAACCAGACAGUUAUAAACAAUGCAAGGGCAUUAUUUAAAUCUGACCCAACAGACAAAGUGAAGGAUUAAUUUUUUGUUUUGUUACAUAUGAUUUUACUUAAGAUAAAGUUUUUUGUUUGCCUU